AGGUGGGGACGACGUCAAGUCAUCAUGGCCCUUACGAGUAGGGCUACACACGUGCUACAAUGGCGUAUACAGAGGGCUGCAAGCUAGCGAUAGUGAGCGAAUCCCACAAAGUACGUCGUAGUCCGGAUUGGAGUCUGCAACUCGACUCCAUGAAGUCGGAAUCGCUAGUAAUCGUGAAUCAGAAUGUCACGGUGAAUACGUUCCCGGGCCUUGUACACACCGCCCGUCACACCAUGGGAGUUGAUUGCUCCAGAAGUAGCUAGCUUAACCCUUCGGG
Molecule: ribosomal RNA, 277 nt
Filed under: Marinomonas protea
Lineage: Bacteria; Pseudomonadati; Pseudomonadota; Gammaproteobacteria; Oceanospirillales; Oceanospirillaceae
Description: partial 16S ribosomal RNA
Rfam family: Bacterial small subunit ribosomal RNA
Source: RNAcentral